This 253-nucleotide ribosomal RNA is filed under the name uncultured bacterium. RNAcentral's name for it is "partial 16S ribosomal RNA". It matches the Rfam family "Bacterial small subunit ribosomal RNA", at positions 524 to 776 of the family's 1533-position model. The record is from RNAcentral.
UACGUAGGGGGCGAGCGUUGUCCGAAGUUAUUGGGCGUAAAGAGCUCGUAGGCGGCCAGUUGCGUCCGCUGUGAAAUCCCAGGGCUUAACCCUGGGCGUGCAGUGGAUACGGGCUGGCUGGAGGCAGGCAGGGGAGAACGGAAUUCCCGGUGUAGCGGUGAAAUGCGCAGAUAUCGGGAGGAACACCGGUGGCGAAGGCGGUUCUCUGGGCCUGUACUGACGCUGAGGUGCGAAAGCGUGGGGAGCAAACAGG